AUGGUGCGGCUGCAGCACCGCAGCGCGGAGCGGCACCUCGAGGGCGUCGCCGCCAAGCUGGCGGAGAUGGUGAAGAAGGGGGCGAAGAAGGCCGGCAAGGGGCGGAGCGUGGCGGUGGAGGGAGCCGAGGUGCGGAGGCUGGGCAAGUGGUACGGCGACGCCAUGGAGGUGAUGCUGGAGCACGCCAGGAUGGAGGAGCGCGUGCUGUUCCCCGACAUCCAGAGGGCUUCGUUCCCAGGGGUGUGCGAUAAGGUUCAGGAGCAGCACGGGAAGCACCUGCCCAUGAUGAACGGAAUCAAGGAGGAUAUAAAAACGCUUCUGACGCUGGAGCUGGGCAGCGCCCUCUUCUAUGAAGUGCUGGUCAACCUCUCCGUCCGCCUCAAAGCGUUGCAGGAUCACACCAAGGAGCACUUCAAGGAGGAAGAGAAGGAUAUGCUCCCACGAUUGGAAUCAGUACGGCGGAUGCAGCGCGAGGAGGGGAAUGUUCCUGACAAGUCCAACUCCGGAUGGGCGUCGGAGGCCAUGGGCACAAUGGAGAUGACGCACUCGAAGCUCUUCCCCUUCUUCAUGACCGGGCUCAUGCCUCAGGAGGCCGUGCAGUACCUCGACCUGGUGUGCAGAUGCACCAAGAACACCCGGCAUCUGGUCUCCAUGCUCAGGUCGCUCGCGGAGCGUCUGGAGGACGCGAACCCGUCGAUAAUCCACAACAACCCCACACGACUAUAUGAGCACCUACUUGUAAAAUCCCCAUAA
Molecule: ribosomal RNA, 753 nt
Filed under: Triticum aestivum (bread wheat)
Lineage: Eukaryota; Viridiplantae; Streptophyta; Magnoliopsida; Poales; Poaceae
Description: partial small subunit ribosomal RNA
Source: RNAcentral